AACGAACGCUGGCGGCAUGCCUAACACAUGCAAGUCGAACGAUUGCCUUCGGGUGAUAGUGGCGCACGGGUGCGUAACGCGUGGGAAUCUGCCCUUGGGUUCGGAAUAACAGCUGGAAACGGCUGCUAAUACCGGAUGAUAUCGCGAGAUCAAAGAUUUAUCGCCUGAGGAUGAGCCCGCGUUGGAUUAGGUAGUUGGUGGGGUAAAGGCCUACCAAGCCGACGAUCCAUAGCUGGCCUGAGAGGAUGAUCAGCCACACUGGGACGGAGAAACGGGCCAGACUCGUAGGGGAGGGGGCGGUGGGGAAAAUUGGAGAAUGGGCGCAAGCCUGAGCCAGCAAUGCCGCGUGAGUGAUGAAGGCCCUAGGGGUGGAAAGGUCUGUUACCCGGGAAGAUAAUGACUGUACCGGGAGAAUAAGCCCCGGCUAACUCCGUGCCAGCCGCCGCCGUAA
Molecule: ribosomal RNA, 451 nt
Filed under: uncultured bacterium
Lineage: Bacteria
Description: partial 16S ribosomal RNA
Rfam family: Bacterial small subunit ribosomal RNA
Source: RNAcentral